Molecule: small nuclear RNA, 106 nt
Organism: Ailuropoda melanoleuca (giant panda)
Lineage: Eukaryota; Metazoa; Chordata; Mammalia; Carnivora; Ursidae
Source: Ensembl
GUGCUCACUUUGGCAGCACAUAUAUUAAAAUUAGAGCAAUACAGAAAAGAUUAGUAUGGCCCCUGCACAAGGACGACACACAAUUUGUGAAAUGUUUCACAUUUUU